AAAACAUUUGAGUGAGUGGCGGACGGGUGAGUAACACGUGGGUAACCUGCCCUAAAGUGGGGGAUAACAUUUGGAAACAGAUGCUAAUACCGCAUAAAACCUAACACCGCAUGGUGUAGGGUUGAAAGAUGGUUUCGGCUAUCACUUUAGGAUGGACCCGCGGUGCAUUAGUUAGUUGGUGAGGUAAAGGCUCACCAAGACCGUGAUGCAUAGCCGACCUGAGAGGGUAAUCGGCCACACUGGGACUGAGACACGGCCCAGACUCCUACGGGAGGCAGCAGUAGGGAAUCUUCCACAAUGGACGAAAGUCUGAUGGAGCAACGCCGCGUGAGUGAAGAAGGUUUUCGGAUCGUAAAACUCUGUUGUUGGAGAAGAAUGUAUCUGAUAGUAACUGAUCAGGUAGUGACGGUAUCCAACCAGAAAGCCACGGCUAACUACGUGCCAGCAGCCGCGGUAAUACGUAGGUGGCAAGCGUUGUCCGGAUUUAUUGGGCGUAAAGCGAGCGCAGGCGGUUUCUUAAGUCUGAUGUGAAAGCCUUCGGCUCAACCGAAGAAGUGCAUCGGAAACUGGGAAACUUGAGUGCAGAAGAGGACAGUGGAACUCCAUGUGUAGCGGUGAAAUGCGUAGAUAUAUGGAAGAACACCAGUGGCGAAGGCGGCUUACUGGACGGUAACUGACGUUGAGGCUCGAAAGCAUGGGUAGCAAACAGGAUUAGAUACCCUGGUAGUCCAUGCCGUAAACGAUGAGUGCUAGGUGUUGGAGGGUUUCCGCCCUUCAGUGCCGCAGCUAACGCAUUAAGCACUCCGCCUGGGGAGUACGACCGCAAGGUUGAAACUCAAAGGAAUUGACGGGGGCCCGCACAAGCGGUGGAGCAUGUGGUUUAAUUCGAAGCAACGCGAAGAACCUUACCAGGUCUUGACAUCCUUUGACCACUCUAGAGAUAGAGCUUUCCCUUCGGGGACAAAGUGACAGGUGGUGCAUGGUUGUCGUCAGCUCGUGUCGUGAGAUGUUGAGUUAAGUCCCGCAACGAGCGCAACCCUUAUUACUAGUUGCCAGCAUUUAGUUGGGCACUCUAGUGAGACUGCCGGUGACAAACCGGAGGAAGGUGGGGACGACGUCAAAUCAUCAUGCCCCUUAUGACCUGGGCUACACACGUGCUACAAUGGAUGGUACAACGAGUUGCGAGACCGCGAGGUUUAGCUAAUCUCUUAAAACCAUUCUCAGUUCGGAUUGUAGGCUGCAACUCGCCUACAUGAAGCCGGAAUCGCUAGUAAUCGAGGAUCAGCAUGCCGCGGUGAAUACGUUCCCGGG
RNAcentral lists this ribosomal RNA (1311 nucleotides) under uncultured bacterium. RNAcentral describes it as "bacterial SSU rRNA". It matches the Rfam family "Bacterial small subunit ribosomal RNA", at positions 80 to 1378 of the family's 1533-position model. The record is from RNAcentral.